CAUAAAAAUUUAAUUUAGAAUUUUAUUUUUUAGUCAAAAAGCUAAAAUAAAUUUAAAAGACGAGAAGACCCUAUAAAUCUUUAUAUUUACAUUAUUAUAAUUUUCUAGAUUUUUUUUAUUAUAAUAAUCUAUAAUAUUUUAUUGGGGUGAUAUUAAAAUUUAAUAAACUUUUAAUUUUAAGAUUCAUUAAUUUAUGAAUUAUUGAUCCAUUAUUAUUGAUUAAAAAAUUAAGUUACCUUAGGGAUAACAG
RNAcentral lists this ribosomal RNA (250 nucleotides) under Chrysomya putoria (tropical African latrine blowfly). RNAcentral describes it as "partial 16S ribosomal RNA". Lineage: Eukaryota; Metazoa; Arthropoda; Insecta; Diptera; Calliphoridae. The record is from RNAcentral.